AGUGAACGCUGGCGGUAGGCCUAACACAUGCAAGUCGAACGGCGGCACAGGAGAGCUUGCUCUCUGGGUGACGAGUGGCGAACGGGUGAGUAAUACAUCGGAACGUGCCUAGUAGUGGGGGAUAACUACUCGAAAGAGUGGCUAAUACCGCAUGAGAUCUACGGAUGAAAGCAGGGGAUCGCAAGACCUUGUGCUACUAGAGCGGCCGAUGGCAGAUUAGGUAGUUGGUGGGAUAAAAGCUUACCAAGCCGACGAUCUGUAGCUGGUCUGAGAGGACGAUCAGCCACACUGGGACUGAGACACGGCCCAGACUCCUACGGGAGGCAGCAGUGGGGAAUUUUGGACAAUGGGCGAAAGCCUGAUCCAGCAAUGCCGCGUGCAGGAUGAAGGCCUUCGGGUUGUAAACUGCUUUUGUACGGAACGAAAAGCCCAGGGUUAAUACCCUGGGGUCAUGACGGUACCGUAAGAAUAAGCACCGGCUAACUACGUGCCAGCCGCCGCAGUAA
Molecule: ribosomal RNA, 506 nt
Filed under: uncultured bacterium
Lineage: Bacteria
Description: partial 16S ribosomal RNA
Rfam family: Bacterial small subunit ribosomal RNA
Source: RNAcentral